UACGAAGGGGGCUAGCGUUGCUCGGAAUUACUGGGCGUAAAGCGCACGUAGGCGGAUUGUUAAGUCGGGGGUGAAAUCCUGGAGCUCAACUCCAGAACUGCCUUCGAUACUGGCGAUCUCGAGUUCGGGAGAGGUGAGUGGAACUGCGAGUGUAGAGGUGAAAUUCGUAGAUAUUCGCAAGAACACCAGUGGCGAAGGCGGCAUCCGUGGACCGCAUUGGACGCUGAGGAGCGAAAGCUAGGGAGCAACGGGGAUUAAGAAACCC
RNAcentral lists this ribosomal RNA (265 nucleotides) under uncultured bacterium. RNAcentral describes it as "partial 16S ribosomal RNA". It matches the Rfam family "Bacterial small subunit ribosomal RNA", at positions 524 to 788 of the family's 1533-position model. The record is from RNAcentral.